ACUUAAGUAGUUUAAAUAAAAUAAAAUCAUGAUUUGUGGUAUCAUAGAUAUAAGUUAUUAUCUUAGGUU
This 69-nucleotide transfer RNA is filed under the name Rhombodera latipronotum. RNAcentral's name for it is "tRNA-His". Lineage: Eukaryota; Metazoa; Arthropoda; Insecta; Mantodea; Mantidae. The record is from RNAcentral.